CAGGACGAACGCUGGCGGCGUGCUUAAUACAUGCAAGUCAACUGAACUUUAGGUAGCAAUAUUUAAAGGGAGGUGGCGCACGGGUGAGUAACACGUAGGUAAUCUGCCUUUAGGUCUGACACAACCCCGAGAAAUCGGGGGCUAAUAUCAGAUGAUGCAGCGGCUCGACAUCGAGACAGUUGUUAAACCUUCGGGGCCUAAAGAUGAGCCUGCGUCUGAUUAGCUGGUUGGCGGGGUAACGGCCCACCAAGGCAACGAUCAGUAGCUGGUCUGAGAGGAUGAUCAGCCACGACUGGAACUGAGACACGGUCCAGACUCCUACGGGAGGCAGCAGUAAGGAAUAUUGCUCAAUGGCCGAAAGGCUGAAGCAGCAACGCCGCGUGGAGGAUGAAAUACUUUUGUAUGUAAACUCCUGUGAGAAGGGAAAAAUAUGCAGAUUUUCUGCGUUGAUUGUACCUUCAGAGGAAGCCCCGGCUAACUACGUG
This 485-nucleotide ribosomal RNA is filed under the name uncultured bacterium. RNAcentral's name for it is "bacterial SSU rRNA". It matches the Rfam family "Bacterial small subunit ribosomal RNA", at positions 25 to 507 of the family's 1533-position model. The record is from RNAcentral.